GUCUGUCACACAUGAAAGGAAGAGACUGUAAAAUCCCGAGGGAAGUGGUGUCCUGUUUCUACCCUCGCUCCGUUUCUUCCCAGGCCUCCGCAGUGGACAGCCUUGUGGAGAUGAUGCAGAAGCUGCAGCUGAAGGACUGAGAGGAGGAGCGUCAGCAGGCAGCAGCUUCUGCAGUGCGCGGCGUUACAGGGCAGUGCUGAGUGCCGCCCAACUCGGCACUCCACCUUCAAACGUAGUCAAUAAAAACCAGUCAAAUUUAUAGAUUCACAGAGAGCGCACGGCCUGAUUUGUCCAGCGGCACUCGGAGAGCUGCUGCACCACCUCCUCGUUAUUGGUCUCGCGGCGCUCGCUCAGAACUGCCACAGCUCCGUCAGUGAAUGCUGCCGUCCAGUGAUGCAACGGAGGCAGCAGUCCUUUGCACUGCCCACAGACAGACUGUCUGCAAAGCACGUGCAAAGAGCUGCAGGGAACACAGCCUGGCCAUGAGCGUGCUAACUUGGAGAGCAACGCUGUGGAGAUUGCGGAGUUUCCCAGGGCAGCACUGAGCGUUUUUUGCUGUGAUGGCGGGUGUACAAUGAGCAAAGUUCAGCAAAAGGACGGCGUUUUCUGAGAAAAAAAUGACAGGCUGUUGGUCCAGAGCAGCAUCUCUGCAGCUUAGGACCACCAGGCUGCCAUCCCAGCACUGUUCUGCUUGCAGGCAGCGCUCCAUGUUGUGGCACUCAGAGGGCGUCCCUCUGCCGUGCAGCCCUCCCCAGUGCCUGCCUGCCUGUCACUGUUGUGGCUGGGAUGGAGCUGUUUCCUUUGCAGUGCCUCCCAUGGCGCUGUGUUCACAUGCGUGCACCCCAUCCCUCUGCACACC
Molecule: long non-coding RNA, 859 nt
Filed under: Gallus gallus (chicken)
Lineage: Eukaryota; Metazoa; Chordata; Aves; Galliformes; Phasianidae
Description: lncRNA (ENSGALG00010029065.1)
Source: RNAcentral